Molecule: ribosomal RNA, 554 nt
Filed under: uncultured bacterium
Lineage: Bacteria
Description: bacterial SSU rRNA
Rfam family: Archaeal small subunit ribosomal RNA
Source: RNAcentral
GAGUGAAAUCCUGUAAUCUAUAGGACCACCAGUGGUGAAGACGUCUGGUUAGAAUAGGUCCGACGGUGAGGGACGAAGGGCUGGGGGCGCAAACCGGAUUAGAUACCCGGGUAGUCCCAGCAGUAAACGAUGCCAGCUAUGUGUUGCUGGAACCAUGGGUUCCAGCAGUGCCGAAGGGAAGCCGUGAAGCUGGCCACCUGGGAAGUACGGUCGCAAGGCUGAAACUUAAAGGAAUUGGCGGGGGAGUACCACAACCGGUGGAGCCUGCGGUUUAAUUGGAUACAACGCCGGGAAUCUUACCGGAGGGGACAGCAGUAUGAAUGCCAGCUAAAGACCUUGCCAGAUCAGCUGAGAGGAGGUGCAUGGCCGUCGCCAGUUCGUACCGUGAGGCAUCCUGUUUAGUCAGGCAACGAUCGAGACCCGCAGUCUUAUUUGCCAGCAUGCCCUUUGGGGUGUAUGGGUACAAUAAGGACGACCGCCAGCGCUAAGCUGGAGGAAGGAGCGGGCUACGGUAGGUCAGCAUGCCCCGAAUCCUCGGGAUACACGCGGGCUAC